Molecule: small RNA, 902 nt
Filed under: Xanthomonas campestris pv. campestris
Lineage: Bacteria; Pseudomonadati; Pseudomonadota; Gammaproteobacteria; Lysobacterales; Lysobacteraceae
Description: bacterial LSU rRNA
Rfam family: Bacterial large subunit ribosomal RNA (bases 601-902)
Source: RNAcentral
GCAGGUAGCUUACCUUCGGGAGGGCGCUUGCCACGGUGUGGCCGAUGACUGGGGUGAAGUCGUAACAAGGUAGCCGUAUCGGAAGGUGCGGCUGGAUCACCUCCUUUUGAGCAUGACGUUAUUCGUCCUGUCGGGCGUCCUCACAAAUUACCUGCAUUCAGAGAUUCAUACCGGCACAGGUCGGUAUGCGAAGUCCCUUUUGGGGCCUUAGCUCAGCUGGGAGAGCACCUGCUUUGCAAGCAGGGGGUCGUCGGUUCGAUCCCGACAGGCUCCACCAUAUUGAGUGAAAAGACUUCGGGUCUGUAGCUCAGGUGGUUAGAGCGCACCCCUGAUAAGGGUGAGGUCGGUAGUUCGAGUCUACCCAGACCCACCACUCUGAAUGUAGUGCACACUUAAGAAUUUAUAUGGAUCAGCGUUGAGGCUGAGACAUGUUCUUUUAUAACUUGUGACGUAGCGAGCGUUUGAGAUAUCUAUCUAAACGUGUCGUUGAGGCUAAGGCGGGGACUUCGAGUCCCUAAAUAAUUGAGUCGUAUGUUCGCGUUGGUGGCUUUGUACCCCACACAACACGGCAUGUAGCUCCGAGGCAACUUGGGGUUAUAUGGUCAAGCGAAUAAGCGCACACGGUGGAUGCCUAGGCGGUCAGAGGCGAUGAAGGACGUGGUAGCCUGCGAAAAGUGUCGGGGAGCUGGCAACAAGCUUUGAUCCGGCAAUAUCCGAAUGGGGAAACCCACUGCUUCGGCAGUAUCUUGCAGUGAAUUCAUAGCUGCUUGAAGCGAACCCGGUGAACUGAAAUAUCUAAGUAACCGGAGGAAAAGAAAUCAACCCGAGAUUCCCUGAGUAGUGACGAGCGAACGGGGAACAGCCCCUUAAGCUGGGAUGCUUUAGAAAAACAAUCUGGAAAA